RNAcentral lists this ribosomal RNA (290 nucleotides) under uncultured soil bacterium. Its description in RNAcentral is "partial 16S ribosomal RNA". It matches the Rfam family "Bacterial small subunit ribosomal RNA", at positions 26 to 348 of the family's 1533-position model. The record is from RNAcentral.
AGAGCGAACGCUGGCGGCAGGCCUAACACAUGCAAGUCGAACGGACUCUUCGGAGUUAGUGGUGGACGGGUGAGUAACACGUGGGAACGUGCCUUUGGUUCGGAAUAGCUCCUGGAAACGGGUGGUAAUGCCGAAUGUGCCCUUCGGGGGAAAGAUUUAUCGCCAUUAGAGCGGCCCGCGUCUGAUUAGCUAGUUGGUGAGGUAAGGCUCACCAAGGCUACGAUCAGUAGCUGGUCUGAGAGGAUGACCAGCCACAUUGGGACUGAGACACGGCCAACUACCUACGGAGG